Molecule: ribosomal RNA, 507 nt
Filed under: uncultured Desulfobulbus sp.
Lineage: Bacteria; Pseudomonadati; Thermodesulfobacteriota; Desulfobulbia; Desulfobulbales; Desulfobulbaceae
Description: bacterial SSU rRNA
Rfam family: Bacterial small subunit ribosomal RNA
Source: RNAcentral
CCUUGCCAGCCCGCUCAGAAACUUAAGGAAUUGACGGGGCCCGCACAAGCGGUGGAGUAUGUGGUUUAAUUCGAUGCAACGCGAAGAACCUUACCUGGUCUUGACAUCCCGGAGACCCUUAGGAAACUAGGGGGUGCUUCCAUCUGGAAGAAUCUGGAGACAGGUGCUGCAUGGCUGUCGUCAGCUCGUGUCGUGAGAUGUUGGGUUAAGUCCCGCAACGAGCGCAACCCUUGCCUUUAGUUGCCAGCAGUUCGGCUGGGCACUCUAAAGGGACUGCCGGUGUUAAACCGGAGGAAGGUGGGGAUGACGUCAAGUCCUCAUGGCCUUUAUGACCAGGGCUACACACGUACUACAAUGGCCGAUACAAAGGGCAGCGACACUGCGAGGUGAAGCCAAUCCCGUAAAAUCGGUCUCAGUCCGGAUUGGAGUCUGCAACUCGACUCCAUGAAGUUGGAAUCGCUAGUAAUUCGAGAUCAGCAUGCUCGGGUGAAUGCGUUCCCGGGCCUU